This 430-nucleotide ribosomal RNA is filed under the name Bacteroidota bacterium. Its description in RNAcentral is "Bacteroidetes bacterium partial 16S ribosomal RNA". It matches the Rfam family "Bacterial small subunit ribosomal RNA", at positions 355 to 776 of the family's 1533-position model. The record is from RNAcentral. Lineage: Bacteria; Pseudomonadati; Bacteroidota.
UAGGGAAUCUUCGGCAAUGGGGGGAACCCUGACCGAGCAACGCCGCGUGAGUGAAGAAGGUUUUCGGAUCGUAAAGCUCUGUUGUUAAGGAAGAACGAGUGUGAGAAUGGAAAGUUCAUACUGUGACGGUACUUAACCAGAAAGCCACGGCUAACUACGUGCCAGCAGCCGCGGUAAUACGUAGGUGGCAAGCGUUGUCCGGAUUUAUUGGGCGUAAAGCGAGCGCAGGCGGUCAAUUAAGUCUGAUGUGAAAGCCCCCGGCUCAACCGGGGAGGGUCAUUGGAAACUGGUUGGCUUGAGUGCAGAAGAGGAGAGUGGAAUUCCAAGUGUAGCGGUGAAAUGCGUAGAUAUAUGGAGGAACACCAGUGGCGAAGGCGACUCUCUGGUCUGUAACUGACGCUGGGGCUCGGAAGCGUGGGUAGCAAACAGG